CAAUAAUACAAAUUAUUGGUGAUUGAUCAACUGUAAGGAUUCUUCAGUAAAGUCUUUGUUAUCAUUCAAUGGAAGAUGACCAAUUACAUGUCAAAAAUGUCAUUGAGAAAUACUGCACCAAACAUCUUAGUUAGAUGUAAAACUGUGUAACAAAUUAAUGGCAGAUUUCUUGUGUACUGGCUACGGCGUCUCAAAAUGGACAAACAGUACUACUGCCGCUUUUUUCUCAUUUCUCAAGCAAAGGUCUUCUAUGGGAGAAUGCGAGCACACUCGUUUGGUUUGGCUAGCCGCCAGCCGAACUCAAGCAUGCUGACGCCAUGGAAGAGGGUGACAAUGCAGCUGCAGCUGUCAGUGAAGGGAGGGUGAAGGCUACUGGACAGGAGGGUGUAGGCUACUGGACAGGAGAGUGUAGGCUACUGGACAGGAGAGUGUAGGCUACUGGACAGGAGUGUGUAGGCUACUGGACAGGAGAGUGUAGGCUACUGGACAAGAGAGUGUAGGCUAUUGGACAGGAGAGUGUAGGCUAUUGGACAGGAGAGUGUAGACUACUGGACAGGAGAGUGUAGGCUACUGGACAGGAGAGUGUAGGCUACAGGGCAGCAGAGUGUAGGCUACUGGACAGGAGAGUGUAGACUACUGGACAGGAGAGUGUAGGCUACUGGACAGGAGAGUGUAGGCUACUGGACAGGAGAGUGUAGGCUACAGGGCAGCAGAGUGUAGACUACUGGACAGGACAGGAGGGUGUAGGAUACUGGACAGGACAGGAGGGUGUAGGAUACUGGACAGGGCAGGUCAUUUUGUGGGAGGACAUUAUAAACAUAUGACCCAGUUCCACUCCCUCGAGGGGAACCCUUUUGAAGACAGAGAGAUAAUAGCAACAUGAUAUUCUAAUAUGAGUAUAAUGAAGCCUGUUUCUUUGUGAUGUUUUCUGUCCCUCAG
RNAcentral lists this long non-coding RNA (939 nucleotides) under Salmo salar (Atlantic salmon). RNAcentral's name for it is "lncRNA (ENSSSAG00000096543.1)". Lineage: Eukaryota; Metazoa; Chordata; Actinopteri; Salmoniformes; Salmonidae. The record is from RNAcentral.